GUGCUUAACACAUGCAAGUCGAGUGCGCGUCUGUAGCAAUACAGAUGGCGCACGGCGCACGGGUGCGUAACACGUGGGUAACCUGCCCUUUGAUGGGGAAUAACCUCGCGAAAGCGAGGCUAAUUCCGCAUAAGAUCCGCAAGGAUGAAAGCCGUAAGGCGUCGAAGGAGGGGCCCGCGCACGAUUAGCUAGUUGGUAGGGUAAUGGCCUACCAAGGCUUUGAUCGUUAGCUGGUCUGAGAGGAUGGCCAGCCACACUGGAACUGAGACACGGUCCAG
RNAcentral lists this ribosomal RNA (278 nucleotides) under uncultured bacterium. Its description in RNAcentral is "partial 16S ribosomal RNA". It matches the Rfam family "Bacterial small subunit ribosomal RNA", at positions 44 to 334 of the family's 1533-position model. The record is from RNAcentral.